AGAGUUUGAUCCUGGCUCAGAUUGAACGCUGGCGGCAUGCCUUACACAUGCAAGUCGAACGGUAACGCGGGGCAACCUGGCGACGAGUGGCGAACGGGUGAGUAACGCAUCGGAACGUGCCCAGUAGUGGGGGAUAGCCCGGCGAAAGCCGGAUUAAUACCGCAUACGACCUACGGGUGAAAGCGGGGGACCGUAAGGCCUCGCGCUAUUGGAGCGGCCGAUGUCAGAUUAGGUAGUUGGUGGGGUAAAAGCCUACCAAGCCGACGAUCUGUAGCUGGUCUGAGAGGACGACCAGCCACACUGGGACUGAGACACGGCCCAGACUCCUACGGGAGGCAGCAGUGGGGAAUUUUGGACAAUGGGCGCAAGCCUGAUCCAGCCAUGCCGCGUGCGGGAUGAAGGCCUUCGGGUUGUAAACCGCUUUUGUCAGGGAAGAAACGCUCCGGGCCAAUACCCUGGGGUAAUGACGGUACCUGAAGAAUAAGCACCGGCUAACUACGUGCCAGCAGCCGCGGUAAUACGUAGGGUGCAAGCGUUAAUCGGAAUUACUGGGCGUAAAGCGUGCGCA
RNAcentral lists this ribosomal RNA (568 nucleotides) under uncultured freshwater bacterium. RNAcentral's name for it is "bacterial SSU rRNA". It matches the Rfam family "Bacterial small subunit ribosomal RNA", at positions 8 to 573 of the family's 1533-position model. The record is from RNAcentral.